AGUAUUGACAGUGACCCUGUGAGUACUAAAGACAUAAGAACAAUUCUCAGUGAGUGUAAAUGACAGAAAGAAUGGACAAAUUCCUGAGCCUGCUCAUCUUUUGGCUACAACUAUACUGGGUGAGCAGCAAAGAGGACGUGAGUCAGAGUCCUGAAGCUCUGACUGUCCGAGAAGGAGACAGCUUGUUUCUCAACUGCAGUUACUCCAGUAGUGGUAUUUACUUCUUUCAGUGGUUUAGGCAGCACCCUGGGAAGGGCCUCAUACCCCUGUUGUUGAUCCGGUCAAAUCAGAGAGAGGAAACAAAUGGAAGAAUUAAAGCCUUGUUGGAUGAAACGUCAAGACAUAGUGCUUUGUACAUUGCAGCUUCUCAGCUCGGAGACUCGGCCACCUACCUCUGUGCUGUGAGGCACAGUACACAAGGAGAACCUGUCACCUAUACCCAAACUCUGUGGCUGAGGACCCAACCACAUGUCCUUUCUUGA
Phyllostomus discolor (pale spear-nosed bat) is the source of this 482-nucleotide non-coding RNA. Lineage: Eukaryota; Metazoa; Chordata; Mammalia; Chiroptera; Phyllostomidae. The record is from the annotation of a RefSeq genome assembly.